This 414-nucleotide ribosomal RNA is filed under the name uncultured soil bacterium. RNAcentral's name for it is "bacterial SSU rRNA". It matches the Rfam family "Bacterial small subunit ribosomal RNA", at positions 26 to 434 of the family's 1533-position model. The record is from RNAcentral.
AGAGUGAACGCUGGCGGUAGGCCUAACACAUGCAAGUCGAACGGCAGCACAGUAGGAGCUUGCUCUUACGGGUGGCGAGUGGCGGACGGGUGAGGAAUACAUCGGAAUCUACCUUUUGGUGGGGGAUAACGUAGGGAAACUUACGCUAAUACCGCAUACGCCCUUCGGGGGAAAGCCGGGGACCAGCAAUGGCCUGGCGCUGAUAGAUGAGCCGAUGUCGGAUUAGCUAGUUGGUGAGGUAAUGGCUCACCAAGGCGACGAUCCGUAGCUGGUCUGAGAGGAUGAUCAGCCACACUGGAACUGAGACACGGUCCAGACUCCUACGGGAGCAGCAGUGGGGAAUAUUGGACAAGUGGGCGCAAGCCUGAUCCAGCCAUACCGCGUGGUGAAGAGGCCUUGGUUACGUAAAGUCCC